AAUCAACGCGAAGGAUUGUUUCAACCAUGUGUAUUCACAAUUCCAUGUGGUCAUGGACGUGUUCAAGGAGUUCCACUAUGGAGGAUACCCCAUAGGUAGGCUUUGCCUGAUGCAGGUAACUGGCAUCUAAAGAAGGGCAGAAGAGAUGGAAAAUCUCAACCGAGCAGGCACGGUGCUGUGAUGAAACGCAAGAAAAUGGUAUCGCUAACUGGUCGCUAUCGCAAUAGAUAUAAGGUAUACUUAUUGAACCAAGUAGAGGAUAGUUUGGCAGCUAUGUCAAUCGCUUGGAGUGCCAUAAGAUAGUUGUCCAAUUGAUGCUGGUAAUCAGAUAUAAGACCAGACGCGAGUACGAGUAGCCCAAAGUUGGAAUAUAUUAGAAGAUAUUAUAAGAUUGAUAUGCUGAAUGGUGGGUGAAAGUUGUUGGUAGCCAAUCCAGCCAUAGAUUGACGUAAGUUGGGAUGGAAAGAUAUGGGGUCGCUCCCUGUGUCUCAGCUCCAUUUCCUAUGUGACCGAAUUACCACUACGUUUUAUGAAGGUACGAUGAAGAUCGGAGACAAUCUUUCGCGUUGG
RNAcentral lists this non-coding RNA (570 nucleotides) under unclassified sequences. RNAcentral describes it as "ROOL RNA". It matches the Rfam family "ROOL RNA". From Rfam's summary of the family: Firmicutes, Fusobacteria (1 example), Tenericutes (1 example). Environment (Cow rumen (57)) The record is from Rfam by way of RNAcentral.